AGUCGUAACAAGGUUUCCGUAGGUGAACCUGCGGAAGGAUCAUUAACAAGGAGGGUGAGUGGGUUUGGGGGGUAGUGGUUGGGUGAGAGUGGUUGGGAGUUUAGGUGUAGUGGUGUGUGUAGUGUGUAGGAAGGCACGUGAGGUGCAAGAAGCACGCAGCACGCAUGUUACACUACACGCAUGCCACGGACCCAGCCGGUACCGCCACCACACAUUGUAGCGCGGUAGACCCGGAAGGGGCGACCGAUGCGAUAUUAGAGCGUGAUGGCAUGUGUGUAUAUUGUAUAUUGUAUAUUGUAUGGUAUGUAUGUAUAUUGUAUAUUGUAUGGUAUUUACUACAUGUAAUAUUGUAUGUAUUGUCGAUUCAGGGAUGGAAAUAAAGAAAACUUUUAACAAUGGAUCUCUAGGCUCUU
Molecule: unclassified non-coding RNA, 413 nt
Filed under: fungal sp.
Lineage: Eukaryota; Fungi
Description: partial internal transcribed spacer region
Rfam family: Eukaryotic small subunit ribosomal RNA (bases 1-45)
Source: RNAcentral